Molecule: ribosomal RNA, 492 nt
Filed under: uncultured bacterium
Lineage: Bacteria
Description: partial 16S ribosomal RNA
Rfam family: Bacterial small subunit ribosomal RNA
Source: RNAcentral
AGUGAACGCUGGCGGUAGGCCUAACACAUGCAAGUCGAACGGCAGCACAGUAAGAGCUUGCUCUUACGGGUGGCGAGUGGCGGACGGGUGAGGAAUACAUCGGAAUCUACUUUUUCGUGGGGGUUAACGUAGGGAAACUUACGCUAAUACCGCAUACGACCUACGGGUGAAAGCAGUGGAUCUUCGGACCUUGCGCGAAUGAAUGAGCCGAUGUCGGAUUAGCUAGUUGGGGGGGUAAAGGCCCACCAAGGCGACGAUCCGUAGCUGGUCUGAGAGGAGGAUCAGCCACACUGGAACUGAGACACGGUCCAGACUCCUACGGGAGGCAGCAGUGGGGAAUAUUGGACAAUGGGCGGAAGCCUGAUCCAGCGAUACCGCGUGGGUGGAGAAGGCCUUCGGGUUGUAAAGCCCUUUUGUUGGGAAAGAACAGCAGUAGGUUAAUACCAAGCUGUUCUGACGGUACCCAAAGAAUAAGCACCGGCUAACUACGUG